UGGGGAAUAUUGGGCAAUGGAGGCAACUCUGACCCAGCAACGCCGCGUGAGGGAAGAAGGUUUUCGGAUUGUAAACCUCUGUCCUAGGGGACGAAGAAAGUGACGGUACCCUAGGAGGAAGCCCCGGCUAACUACGUGCCAGCAGCCGCGGUAAUACGUAGGGGGCAAGCGUUGUCCGGAAUUACUGGGCGUAAAGGGUGCGUAGGCGGUUUAAUAAGUUAGAUGUGAAAUCCCCGGGCUUAACUUGGGGGUGGCAUUUAAAACUGUUAAACUAGAGUGCAGGAGAGGAAAGCGGAAUUCCUAGUGUAGCGGUGAAAUGCGUAGAUAUUAGGAGGAACACCAGUGGCGAAGGCGGCUUUCUGGACUGUAACUGACGCUGAGGCACGAAAGCGUGGGGAGCAAACA
This 405-nucleotide ribosomal RNA is filed under the name uncultured prokaryote. Its description in RNAcentral is "bacterial SSU rRNA". It matches the Rfam family "Bacterial small subunit ribosomal RNA", at positions 355 to 774 of the family's 1533-position model. The record is from RNAcentral.